This 502-nucleotide ribosomal RNA is filed under the name bacterium enrichment culture clone ALO1_GLFRUDD03FUZZD. Its description in RNAcentral is "bacterial SSU rRNA". It matches the Rfam family "Bacterial small subunit ribosomal RNA", at positions 9 to 506 of the family's 1533-position model. The record is from RNAcentral.
GAGUUUGAUCGUGGCUCAGAUUGAACGCUGGCGGCAGGCCUAACACAUGCAAGUCGAGCGGAUGACGGGAGCUUGCUCCUUGAUUCAGCGGCGGACGGGUGAGUAAUGCCUAGGAAUCUGCCUGGUAGUGGGGGACAACGUUUCGAAAGGAACGCUAAUACCGCAUACGUCCUACGGGAGAAAGCAGGGGACCUUCGGGCCUUGCGCUAUCAGAUGAGCCUAGGUCGGAUUAGCUAGUUGGUGGGGUAAUGGCUCACCAAGGCGACGAUCCGUAACUGGUCUGAGAGGAUGAUCAGUCACACUGGAACUGAGACACGGUCCAGACUCCUACGGGAGGCAGCAGUGGGGAAUAUUGGACAAUGGGCGAAAGCCUGAUCCAGCCAUGCCGCGUGUGUGAAGAAGGUCUUCGGAUUGUAAAGCACUUUAAGUUGGGAGGAAGGGCAGUAAGUUAAUACCUUGCUGUUUUGACGUUACCGACAGAAUAAGCACCGGCUAACUCUGU